CCAAAGGCUCUUUUUGGAGCCAUUUGAUACUGAGCACGAUGAGAAGG
Molecule: non-coding RNA, 47 nt
Organism: Chaetura pelagica (chimney swift)
Lineage: Eukaryota; Metazoa; Chordata; Aves; Apodiformes; Apodidae
Source: Rfam